RNAcentral lists this ribosomal RNA (328 nucleotides) under uncultured eukaryote. Its description in RNAcentral is "partial 18S ribosomal RNA". It matches the Rfam family "Eukaryotic small subunit ribosomal RNA", at positions 1470 to 1796 of the family's 1831-position model. The record is from RNAcentral.
CCCUUAGAUGUCCUGGGCCGCACGCGCGUUACACUGAUGCAUUCAACGAGCUUAUAACCUUGGCCGAGAGGCCUGGGCAAUCUUGUUAACGUGCAUCGUGAUAGGGAUAGAUUAUUGAAAUUAUUAAUCUUGAACGAGGAAUUCCUAGUAAACGCAGAUCAUCAAUCUGCAUUGAUUACGUCCCUGCCCUUUUUACACACCGCCCGUCGCACCUACCGAUUGGAUGGUCCGGUGAAGCCUCGGGAUUGUGGUUCUUGCCGCUUUAUUGUGGCGUGACCGCGAGAACUUGUCUAAACCUUAUCAUCUAGAGGAAGGUGAAGUCGUAACA